RNAcentral lists this small nuclear RNA (127 nucleotides) under Nicotiana attenuata. Its description in RNAcentral is "snRNA U1". It matches the Rfam family "U1 spliceosomal RNA". From Rfam's summary of the family: U1 is a small nuclear RNA (snRNA) component of the spliceosome (involved in pre-mRNA splicing). Its 5' end forms complementary base pairs with the 5' splice junction, thus defining the 5' donor site of an intron. There are significant differences in sequence and secondary structure between metazoan and yeast U1 snRNAs, the latter being much longer (568 nucleotides as compared to 164 nucleotides in human). The record is from RNAcentral. Lineage: Eukaryota; Viridiplantae; Streptophyta; Magnoliopsida; Solanales; Solanaceae.
AGACUUACAUGGACGGGUCAAUGGGACGAUCAGAAGGCUCAUGGCUGGGCUUGGUGUCCUCCGUUGGACUUCAGAGGGCACCCGCCUAAGGUCGGCCCCAAGUUGCCAAGCCUAUGUCAAUAAAAAU